This 442-nucleotide ribosomal RNA is filed under the name uncultured bacterium. RNAcentral's name for it is "partial 16S ribosomal RNA". It matches the Rfam family "Bacterial small subunit ribosomal RNA", at positions 338 to 795 of the family's 1533-position model. The record is from RNAcentral.
CCUACGGGAGGCAGCAGUGGGGAAUAUUGGACAAUGGGGGGAACCCUGAUCCAGCGACGCCGCGUGAGUGAAGAAGUAUUUCGGUAUGUAAAGCUCUAUCAGCAGGGAAGAAAGAAAUGACGGUACCUGACUAAGAAGCCCCGGCUAACUACGUGCCAGCAGCCGCGGUAAUACGUAGGGGCAAGCGUUAUCCGGAUUUACUGGGGGUAAAGGGAGCGUAGACGGUUACGCAAGUCUGGAGUGAAAGGCGGGGGCCCAACCCCCGGACUGCUUUGGAAACUUUAUAACUGGAGUGCAGGAGAGGUAAGUGGAAUUCCUAGGGUAGCGGUGAAAUGCGUAGAUAUUAGGAGGAACACCAGUGGCGAAGGCGGCUUACUGGACUGUAACUGACGUUGAGGCUCGAAAGCGUGGGGAGCAAACAGGAUUAGAUACCCUAGUAGUC